This 1120-nucleotide ribosomal RNA is filed under the name Bacillus sp. 35B3_12ACASO. RNAcentral's name for it is "bacterial SSU rRNA". It matches the Rfam family "Bacterial small subunit ribosomal RNA", at positions 56 to 1155 of the family's 1533-position model. Lineage: Bacteria; Bacillati; Bacillota; Bacilli; Caryophanales; Bacillaceae. The record is from RNAcentral.
UGCAAGUCGAGCGGACCGACGGGAGCUUGCUCCCUUAGGUCAGCGGCGGACGGGUGAGUAACACGUGGGUAACCUGCCUGUAAGACUGGGAUAACUCCGGGAAACCGGGGCUAAUACCGGAUGCUUGAUUGAACCGCAUGGUUCAAUCAUAAAAGGUGGCUUUUAGCUACCACUUACAGAUGGACCCGCGGCGCAUUAGCUAGUUGGUGAGGUAACGGCUCACCAAGGCGACGAUGCGUAGCCGACCUGAGAGGGUGAUCGGCCACACUGGGACUGAGACACGGCCCAGACUCCUACGGGAGGCAGCAGUAGGGAAUCUUCCGCAAUGGACGAAAGUCUGACGGAGCAACGCCGCGUGAGUGAUGAAGGUUUUCGGAUCGUAAAACUCUGUUGUUAGGGAAGAACAAGUACCGUUCGAAUAGGGCGGYACCUUGACGGUACCUAACCAGAAAGCCACGGCUAACUACGUGCCAGCAGCCGCGGUAAUACGUAGGUGGCAAGCGUUGUCCGGAAUUAUUGGGCGUAAAGCGCGCGCAGGCGGUUUCUUAAGUCUGAUGUGAAAGCCCCCGGCUCAACCGGGGAGGGUCAUUGGAAACUGGGGAACUUGAGUGCAGAAGAGGAGAGUGGAAUUCCACGUGUAGCGGUGAAAUGCGUAGAGAUGUGGAGGAACACCAGUGGCGAAGGCGACUCUCUGGUCUGUAACUGACGCUGAGGCGCGAAAGCGUGGGGAGCGAACAGGAUUAGAUACCCUGGUAGUCCACGCCGUAAACGAUGAGUGCUAAGUGUUAGAGGGUUUCCGCCCUUUAGUGCUGCAGCAAACGCAUUAAGCACUCCGCCUGGGGAGUACGGUCGCAAGACUGAAACUCAAAGGAAUUGACGGGGGCCCGCACAAGCGGUGGAGCAUGUGGUUUAAUUCGAAGCAACGCGAAGAACCUUACCAGGUCUUGACAUCCUCUGACAACCCUAGAGAUAGGGCUUCCCCUUCGGGGGCAGAGUGACAGGGUGGUGCAUGGUUGUCGUCAGCUCGUGUCGUGAGAUGUUGGGUUAAGUCCCGCAACGAGCGCAACCCUUUGAUCUUAGUUGCCAGCAUUCAGUUGGGCACUCUAAAGGUGACUGCCGG